AGCGAACGCUGGCGGCAGGCUUAACACAUGCAAGUCGAGCGGGCAUCUUCGGAUGUCAGCGGCAGACGGGUGAGUAACCCGUGGGAACGUACCCUUCGGUUCGGAACAACUCUGGGAAACUGGAGCUAAUACCGGAUACGCCCUUAUGGGGAAAGGUUUACUGCCGAAGGAUCGGCCCGCGUCUGAUUAGCUAGUUGGUGGGGUAACGGCCUACCAAGGCGACGAUCAGUAGCUGGUCUGAGAGGAUGAUCAGCCACACUGGGACUGAGACACGGCCCAGACUCCUACGGGAGGCAGCAGUGGGGAAUAUUGGACAAUGGGCGCAAGCCUGAUCCAGCCAUGCCGCGUGAGUGAUGAAGGCCUUAGGGUUGUAAAGCUCUUUUGUCCGGGACGAUAAUGACGGUACCGGAAGAAUAAGCCCCGGCUAACUUCGUG
This 435-nucleotide ribosomal RNA is filed under the name uncultured bacterium. RNAcentral's name for it is "partial 16S ribosomal RNA". It matches the Rfam family "Bacterial small subunit ribosomal RNA", at positions 29 to 507 of the family's 1533-position model. The record is from RNAcentral.